RNAcentral lists this ribosomal RNA (284 nucleotides) under uncultured bacterium. RNAcentral describes it as "partial 16S ribosomal RNA". It matches the Rfam family "Bacterial small subunit ribosomal RNA", at positions 334 to 634 of the family's 1533-position model. The record is from RNAcentral.
UUGUGCCUACGGGACGCAGCAGUGGGGGAUAUUGCACAAUGGGGGAAACCCUGAUGCAGCGACGCCGCGUGGGUGAAGAAGCGCCUCGGCGCGUAAAGCCCUGUCAGCAGGGAAGAAAAUGACGGUACCUGAAGAAGAAGCCCCGGCUAACUACGUGCCAGCAGCCGCGGUAAUACGUAGGGGGCGAGCGUUAUCCGGAUUCACUGGGUGUAAAGGGAGCGUAGACGGCCAUGCAAGCCAGAGGUGAAAGCCCGGGGCCCAACCCCGGGACUGCCCUUGGAACU